GUGAGGAAUAUUGGUCAAUGGGCGGGAGCCUGAACCAGCCAAGUCGCGUGAAGGAAGAAGGAUCUAUGGUUCGUAAACUUCUUUUGCAGGGGAAUAAAGUGCAGGACGUGUCCUGUUUUGUAUGUACCCUGAGAAUAAGGAUCGGCUAACUCCGUGCCAGCAGCCGCGGUAAUACGGAGGAUCCGAGCGUUAUCCGGAUUUAUUGGGUUUAAAGGGUGCGUAGGUGGUUUGAUAAGUCAGCGGUGAAAGUUUGCAGCUUAACUGUAAAAAUGCCGUUGAAACUGUCGGACUUGAGUGUAAAUGAGGUAGGCGGAAUGCGUGGUGUAGCGGUGAAAUGCAUAGAUAUCACGCAGAACUCCGAUUGCGAAGGCAGCUUACUAAGCUACAACUGACACUGAAGCACGAAAGCAUGGGGAUCAAACAGGAUUAGAUACCCUGGUAGUCC
This 445-nucleotide ribosomal RNA is filed under the name uncultured bacterium. RNAcentral describes it as "partial 16S ribosomal RNA". It matches the Rfam family "Bacterial small subunit ribosomal RNA", at positions 354 to 796 of the family's 1533-position model. The record is from RNAcentral.